Small nucleolar RNA from Dioscorea cayenensis subsp. rotundata (Guinea yam), 106 nucleotides. Lineage: Eukaryota; Viridiplantae; Streptophyta; Magnoliopsida; Dioscoreales; Dioscoreaceae. The record is from RefSeq and is a predicted model, not a curated record.
AUACCUUGCUGUGGACAUUUCCUUAACAUCUCUUUAUACCUCUCCCAUGUCUCAUACAAUGAUUCAAACUCAAUUGAUAAAAAAAAGAGACAUUGCUUCUGAGUUU